RNAcentral lists this ribosomal RNA (253 nucleotides) under uncultured bacterium. Its description in RNAcentral is "partial 16S ribosomal RNA". It matches the Rfam family "Bacterial small subunit ribosomal RNA", at positions 524 to 776 of the family's 1533-position model. The record is from RNAcentral.
UACGUAGGGGGCUAGCGUUGUCCGGAAUCAUUGGGCGUAAAGCGCGUGUAGGCGGUCCGGUAAGUCCGCUGUGAAAGCCAGGGGCUCAACCCUUGGAUGCCGGUGGAUACUGUCGGGCUUGAGUACGGAAGAGGCGAGUGGAAUUCCUGGUGUAGCGGUGAAAUGCGCAGAUAUCAGGAGGAACACCGGUGGCGAAAGCGGCUCCCUGGCCCGAUACUGACGCUCAUGUACGAAAGCGUGGGGAGCAAACAGG